This 1450-nucleotide ribosomal RNA is filed under the name metagenome. Its description in RNAcentral is "bacterial SSU rRNA". It matches the Rfam family "Bacterial small subunit ribosomal RNA". The record is from RNAcentral.
UUUGAUCCUGGUUCAGAGUGAACGCUAGUGGUGCGUCUAAUACAUGCAAGUCUAACACUUCAUCUAUCUUUAUUUUUAUUGUUGUGAUGAAGGGUGGCGAACGGGUGAGUAAUGCUUAAGAUUCUACCUUACGGAUGGGGACAAUUCUUCGGAAGAAAUACCCAAUAUUGAAAGGAUUUAUCGCCGUAAGAUGACCUUAAGUCGGAUUAGAUAGUCAACAUAUGUUGAAUCGAAGAUCCGUAGCCGGUCUGAGAGGAUGAUCGGCCACACUGGGACUGAGACACGGCCCAGACCCUUUAGGGGGGCUGCAGUAAAGAAUAUUGGUCAAUGCACGAAAGUGUGAACCAGCGACACCACGUGAGUGAAUGAAGGUCCAUCUGACUGUAAAGCUCUUUCGUUGGGGAGAAUAAUGAUAGUACCCAAAGAAGAAGUCCCGGCUAACUCCGUGCCAGCAGCCGCGGUAAUACGGGGGGGGCGAGCGUUACUCGGAAUGAUUGGGCGUAAAGAGUUCUAAGGUUGCCUUUUGCAUUGUUGGAACGAUAAGGAUAGGGCCCAACCCUAUUUCGUUUUUUAAAUACUAUUAGGCUAGAGUUUAUCAGGGGGCGAUAGAAUUCACAGAUGAGGGGUAAAAUCCGAAGAUUUUGUGAGGAAAACCGGAGGCGAAGGCGAUCGCCUGGUAUAAACUGACACUACAUGAACGAAGGUGUGGGGAGCGAAAGGGAUUAGAGACCCCUGUAGUCCACACAGUAAACGAUGAGUGCUAAAUCUCUGAUGUAUUUUGGGGGUUACAGCUAACGCGUUAAGCACUCCGCCUGGGGAGUACGGUCGCAAGACUAAAACUCAAAGGAAUUGGCGGGGAUUCAUACAAGCGGUGGAACAUGUGGUUUAAUUCGAUAAUACGCGCAAAACCUUACCAACCCUUGACCGCUUCUACAAGAAAGCUCUUCUUGUAUUAGACACAGGUGUUGCAUGGCUGUCGUCAGCUCGUGUUGUGAGAUGUUUGGUUAAGUCCUUUAACGAGCGCAACCUUUAUCUUUAAAAACAAAUCGAUAUAAGAUCGAAUGUACGUUAAAGAAACAGCGGUAUAAUCUAGUUCUGAGCAUUAGGACAGUUAGAUUUUUCCCUUGGCAGAGAAAAGUUUAAGUUUAUAUGUCUCGUACGCUCUAUAGGCUAUCGAUGCUACAAGACCGAGGAAGGUGAAGAUGACGUCAAGUUUCAUGGCCCUUAUGGGUUGGGCUACACACAUGUUACAAUGGCAAUUACAAUAGGAAGCAAAGGUGCGAGCCGGAGCAAAGCCAAAAAGAUUGUCCCAGUUCGGAUUAUAGGCUGCAACUCGCCUAUAUGAAGUCGGAAUCGCUAGUAAUCGCGGAUCAGAACGCCGCGGUGAAAUUGUGCUUGAAUCUUGUACACACCGCCCGUCACACCCUGGGAAUCGAAGGUACUUAAAGCU